Molecule: long non-coding RNA, 2079 nt
Organism: Vanessa tameamea
Lineage: Eukaryota; Metazoa; Arthropoda; Insecta; Lepidoptera; Nymphalidae
Exons: 3
Source: RefSeq, a predicted model, not a curated record
GAUAAAGAAAUAGAAGAAGAAACUGUUUUAUUAAAUGAUUACAAAAUAAAUGUUAAUGAAACAAGACUAACAGAUAAUAUUGAGGAUAUCUUGAAUAAAUCAAAAAAUCAAAUCACAGCACCCGAAAUUUCGGUAACUUUGUUACAACCAAAAAUGAUUUCCAAUUCAGAGCGAGAAACUCUUAGUCCUAAAAUAAUAAAUUUAGAUGAAUGCGAGGAGCCAACUAAAGGUUUAUUCGAAAGAAGAAAAACCGAUAUUCAAGAUCCAAAAGCAUUAUUGAGAAGUUUGUGUUGUUCAAUAGUUUACACAACGAGACUGGAGGAUAUAUGUAUAUUGCGAAGUACAAUCAAAUAUCUAGAUGGUAAAUAUGUACUGAAAGAAAUAUUACGAGAAAGUAAACCAAAUGUUAUAUUUAAACAAAAGACAUCACCAUCGUCUAUAAAUAAGAAUAAUUUUAAACGAUUAAAAGUUGAAUUAAAAAUACUCAACAAUAAAAAUAAGCUUAAACGUGCAGACAUUCGUUCACCGACAUAUGUUAAUUUUAAAUUGAUACCUUCAGAUAUUUUUAUUCAAAUUACAAAUCAAUCUGCUUAUACUAAAAUACUCGUAGAUCCAAAAAUAUCUACGGACACUCAAGACGAUCUUUACAGUACUGCGUUCAAUGAUGUUUUCAUUUAUAACCCAAAAAUUAGAUCUAUAGAAAAAGUUGAAGCUAACCAAAAUAUUUCAUUACUGAUUCAUAAUAAGUUCCGUGACAUGACAGAAGUUUUCGUUACGGAUAAUAACGGAAAUGUAACAGAACUUCGUAGAUUCAAAUCUCAAAAUUCAGUCGAAUUGAAUGAAUUUAUAAACAAUAUCGACUCUAAUAAACGAAGAUUGAAACUGACAACUUGCUGUUGGUUCCAUAGAAAUAUGAAUAUCGAUAAAGUUUGGUCGAAUACAAUCGCUCGAUUCGUCAAAUCGAUGCAUCCUUGUCAACCAGGGAGUUGUGAAUGUUGCUGCAAACCACACCUGGGUCGCCACUCGUUUAAUACAACACGUAAUAUUAGUAGUAGUUGUACUGAAGUAGAUAACGCAUCCAUCGUUAAACUUGAUAAGAAUAGUUUAAUAGGAAGAGCGCUUGAUUUCCGUAAACCAAUUAAAGAAAUUAAAAAUAUUAAACAUGAUACAAAAAUACGUCCAUUGAUUAUAGAAUUUAAUAAAACCGAAAGGAUAGAACAUUACGCUAUCGAUUCCAAAGGAUGUAUAGAUUGGCAAAUUACAGUACGACCACAUAAUAACCACCCAUUAGAUAAUACGAUUGAACUAUUAAAAAACAGAUCAAAACAUAUACCUUCACUCAAAGAAACUAUAAACAGUACACACGAACAUGAUAUUUUUAUUAAUAAACUUAAAGUACGAAAUGUACCCGUCAAUGUUAUAAAUUAUCUGAAGUGUAUAGUUUUGGAAAAUAGUAACGUAAAAAUCAUAGCUGCGACACCAAAGCUGAAAUUAACUAAGGAAAUAUAUAAUAUAGAACAUACAAGAACAUACACACUACCAUCAUUAAUAAAAAUAGGACAAAUCUUGAAAUCUAAAUCUAUGUUAAAAGGGAAACCAAUAUUUGAUCAUGUCAACAAAAUAGGCAAAAGAGUUCCUGGAAACAAGAUGGAUCUCGUACCAUCUAAAUCUGGAUCAAAUUCUCCUGUGGAUAAGAUAAUUUCAGGAAUUGUCUUCAAAGUGGAGCCAGAUCACCAGCAAGGGAAAACAAAUGAUUCCUUCUCACCCUAUAGACUUAGACCUCUACAAUGGCCACCGUCCAUACAAAUUUAUAACCCUACCACAAGCAGGAGUAUCAAAAGAGAAGUUGAUAUUCAAGAUGGCGAUGACACCAACAAUAUUUUCAAUAAUAAAUCGUUCGAGUCUUUUAUUAAAAUAGAAAAUAAUAACACAGAUAUAGCUAUGCCAGUUAUUACCAACGUUUUUUCUCUUAACAAUAAUAAAUUAACGAAUUAAUUAAUUGGUUAAAACAGUUUUUCACCUGUUAGUUAAGUAAGUGUGAAUUCUGGGACGAAAAUUGGUUCCAAAGUUGGUCGAGCA